CCUACGGGUGGCAGCAGUGGGGAAUAUUGCACAAUGGGGGAAACCCUGAUGCAGCGACGCCGCGUGAGUGAAGAAGUAUUUCGGUAUGUAAAGCUCUAUCAGCCGGGAAGAAAAUGACGGUACCUGAGUAAGAAGCCCCGGCUAACUACGUGCCAGCAGCCGCGGUAAUACGUAGGGGGCAAGCGUUAUCCGGAUUUACUGGGUGUAAAGGGAGCGUAGACGGCACCGGAAGUCUGAAGUGAAAUGCCGGGGGUUAACCCCGGAACUGCUUUGGAAACUGUGCAGCUAGAGUGACGGAGAGGUAAGUGGAAUUCCUAGUGUAGCGGUGAAAUGCGUAGAUAUUAGGAGGAACACCAGUGGCGAAGGCGGCUUACUGGACUGUAACUGACGUUGAGGCUCGAAAGCGUGGGGAGCAAACAGGAUUAGAUACCCUAGUAGUC
RNAcentral lists this ribosomal RNA (440 nucleotides) under uncultured bacterium. RNAcentral describes it as "partial 16S ribosomal RNA". It matches the Rfam family "Bacterial small subunit ribosomal RNA", at positions 338 to 795 of the family's 1533-position model. The record is from RNAcentral.